GGCACAAACUUGAAGUAAAAUAGUUGGGCAUGGUAAGUUGAUCCCACUAAUCUAUUCUACUUCAAGUUUGUGCUC
Molecule: microRNA precursor, 75 nt
Filed under: Haemonchus placei
Lineage: Eukaryota; Metazoa; Nematoda; Chromadorea; Rhabditida; Trichostrongylidae
Description: mir-5928 microRNA precursor family
Rfam family: mir-5928 microRNA precursor family
Source: Rfam by way of RNAcentral